This 328-nucleotide ribosomal RNA is filed under the name uncultured eukaryote. RNAcentral's name for it is "partial 18S ribosomal RNA". It matches the Rfam family "Eukaryotic small subunit ribosomal RNA", at positions 1470 to 1796 of the family's 1831-position model. The record is from RNAcentral.
CCCUUAGACGUUCUGGGCCGCACGCGCGCUACACUGACCAGUGCAACAAGCAUCCGUCCUUGGCCGACAGGCUCGGGCAAUCUUUGAACGCUGGUCGUGAUGGGGAUAGAUUAUUGCAAUUAUUAAUCUUCAACGAGGAAUGCCUAGUAAGCGCAAGUCAUCAGCUUGCGUUGAUUACGUCCCUGCCCUUUGUACACACCGCCCGUCGCUCCUACCGAUUGAAUGGUCCGGUGAAGCGUUCGGACCGUGGCCUUUGGACGGUUCGCCGUCUGUUGGCUGCGGGAAGUUCGUUAAACCUUAUCAUUUAGAGGAAGGAGAAGUCGUANCA